Molecule: ribosomal RNA, 254 nt
Filed under: uncultured bacterium
Lineage: Bacteria
Description: partial 16S ribosomal RNA
Rfam family: Bacterial small subunit ribosomal RNA
Source: RNAcentral
UACGUAGGCAGCGAGCGUUGUUCGGAGUUACUGGGCGUAAAGGGUGUGUAGGCGGUUGUUUAAGUUUGGUGUGAAAUCUCCCGGCUCAACUGGGAGGGUGCGCCGAAUACUGAGUGACUUGGAGUGCGGGAGAGGAGAGUGGAAUUCCUGGUGUAGCGGUGAAAUGCGUAGAUAUCGGAAAGAACACCAACGGCGAAAGCACUCUGCUGGGCCGACACUGACACUGAGAGACGAAAGCUAGGGGAGCGAAUGGG